AAAAAAAAAUAUUAUAUAAAUUUUAGUUUGUCUCCGCGACUGGAGCACCACAUUAUUGGAAUUCCAAUUCCAUGUCAAACCAAAUGUAAUUAUUGGAAUCAAUUAUAAGGGCGCUAUUAGCAAUGGUCAUCUGCAGAACAGAAGACGGUGGUGCGGAAGGUGAUAAGACCCUCCCUCCUCCAGCGUGUGUACUAAGAUAGAAGAGAUGAUAUUGUUUCUAUGGGCUUCAAGGAGAUCUAUUGCAAUGUAAGUUUUCCCAUGAAAGUUUGCACGAUGAUUUGUAAAUUAUCUUAAUCAGAAUAAUCAUCCUGAUUGCUAACCUAUAAACAUGAAGACCUUAAGACAUACAUGAGAUGCUACGCCCAAGCAAUAAUCAUAACCAUUUGUCUGAAAUCUCGACAAAAUUACUUGUGUUCUCCAAUUAAAUAUGAAAAUUUCACAGCAAAUAUCAGCAUGAAGCAUUGCUUCCCAAAGUAACAGUAAUAAGGGUAUUAUAUGGAAAUUUAAGGGAAAAAUCAUAAUUCUCAAGGGGAUGAAUGUAUGAUACAAUGUUAAAAUAAAGAUCAAGAAUUAUUCCAGGACAAGAAUUCCCCUCUUUCCACGUAGCUUAUCCUUUUUCAUAACCUACAAUGAUUGUGACAAUGGUAGAUACAAAUUGACUUUUGGUUUGUUUCUAUGGGAGUUGUUUUUCUUUUGAUUCUUCAGCUUCCAUCUGAUCAUCUAAAAGUUCAAGAUCCACCAAAAAAGUGGUGCGCCUACUUCUCAUCCCAAUGGCUUCGUCAGCAAUUAUGCG
RNAcentral lists this long non-coding RNA (793 nucleotides) under Musa acuminata (dwarf banana). Its description in RNAcentral is "long non-coding RNA (MACU_LNC002310)". Lineage: Eukaryota; Viridiplantae; Streptophyta; Magnoliopsida; Zingiberales; Musaceae. The record is from RNAcentral.